CCUACGGGUGGCAGCAGUGAGGAAUAUUGGUCAAUGGACGCGAGUCUGAACCAGCCAAGUAGCGUGAAGGAUGACUGCCCUAUGGGUUGUAAACUUCUUUUAUAUGGGAAUAAAAUGUUCCACGUGUGGCUUUUUGUAUGUACUUUAUGAAUAAGGAUCGGCUAACUCCGUGCCAGCAGCCGCGGUAAUACGGAGGACUCGAGCGUUAUCCGGAUUUACUGGGUUUAAAGGGAGCGUAGGUGGAUUGUUAAGUCAGUUGUGAAAGUUUGGGGCUCAACCGGAAAAUUGCAGAUGAUACUGGCAGACUAGAGUACAGGAGGGGUGACCGGAAUUCGCGGUGUAGCAGUGAAAUGCGUAGAUAUCGCGAAGAACUCCGAUUGCGAAGGCGGGUCACUGGACAGCAACUGACACAGAGGCUCGAAGGUGAGGGGAUCAAACGGGAUUAGAUACCCUUGUAGUC
This 460-nucleotide ribosomal RNA is filed under the name uncultured bacterium. RNAcentral describes it as "partial 16S ribosomal RNA". It matches the Rfam family "Bacterial small subunit ribosomal RNA", at positions 338 to 795 of the family's 1533-position model. The record is from RNAcentral.